RNAcentral lists this long non-coding RNA (1884 nucleotides) under Ananas comosus (pineapple). Its description in RNAcentral is "long non-coding RNA (ACOM_LNC010949)". The record is from RNAcentral. Lineage: Eukaryota; Viridiplantae; Streptophyta; Magnoliopsida; Poales; Bromeliaceae.
UUUUUUAAUACUUAUCCUUAUUCACUAUUAUAGAAAAAAAAUAAUUAUUUAUAUACCAUUCAAAUAUUCUGAAAUAUCUUAUAUUUUUUAUUUUAAAUAAUUUUUUUGUAUAUUUUUUUAUUAUUUAAAAAUAGUUUAUUGUUAGUAUCUAUUAAGUCAUCUCAGAUUAAACUCAGACUAAAUUUCUAUCAAAGUUAAAAAAAAUCAAAAUAAAAAAUUUGAUGACGAUAAAAGACUAUAUUUGAAAUGGUCAUAAGUUAAAAUACUUAUUUUGUCAUUAACUUAAGGGUGCGUUUGGUUCGCGCUAUCUUUUAAAGAUUCCUAAUAAUCCAAUGGGAAUAAAAAAAUAUGACGGUGUUUGGCUAAACGCACUAAGUAAUCCAGUUGGUAAUAUUGGAUACACUUGGGAAUAAGAUUCACCCCACAGUACUAAUCUCAUUCCCUUGAGGGAGGAUGGGUAUCCUCAUAUUAAUGGAUUUAAGUAAUCAUAAUAUAUCUAAUCUCCUUCUUUCUUCCUACCCGCCGGCUAAUUGAUAUUAUUUUUCUUUACACUCUAACCUUAUAUCUCUCUCUAAACUUAUUUUUCUCUUUAAAAUUCAACUUUUUUUUUUCUCUCUCAAAACUAAGCUUUCUCUCUCUCUCUCUUUCUAAAAUUUCAACUCUCUCACUCCCUCUAAUUUCGACUAUAUUUUUCUUUCUAUUUUUUAAUUAUGCUCUCUCUCUCUAACUUAUACUCUCUCUCAUUUUUUUCUAAAAAGAUGUUGAAAUUUUUAAUAACAUUAUCUAAAAUUAAUUAAAUUAAUUAAUUAAUUAAUUAUAUUUUUUUGUAAUAUUAAAUAACAUGGCUAAUUAAUAUUACCGUGCGAACCAAACACAGAAAUUCCACAUUCUUAGUAAUAGGAUGAAUAGGAAUAAGAUUCUCGGAUAUCUUUUAUUUCUAGUAAUCUUUUAUAAUGCGAACCAAACGCACCCUAAGGGCAAUAAGAGAAUCGUGACGGUGGAAGGGUACAUUUGAAAAGAUAAAAUAGUAAUUUUAUAAAAAUAACGGCCGUUCGUAAUAGUUCACUAAUAGAAUUUAAUUCUACAAAUAUAUUUCAAAGAAUUUGAAAUGUUAAAAGAUUUUUUUUCUUUUUUUUGUAUUAACCUUCUAAAAUAGAUAAAUAAGAAAAUUUGAAACUUUAAACAACUGUUCCAAAAAAAUUACUAAAUUUUUUAUAAUAUCUGUGCACUAGCAUCCACGUGACUCUCGCUCCUAUUUUUGAAUUCAUACCACCCACCAAAUCCCAGUUAGUUCUUUAAUCAGUAACUGGAGCAGGUUGAGACGAACACAGAGCUCAGAAGCUCACUAAAAAUUUGAAGCUUUUUCGUACAGAAAAUAAAAUUCCACUAAAAAUGUAGAGAUUACUAAAAGUGCAAUUUAUUUCAGAAUUAAUUUUAUAUAGAUUCCUACGAAUAUAGUAAAUUAUAAAUAUAUUCCUACAAAGUACAAUUUUUAUAUAUUGUUUCUAUGAAAGUCUUAAUAUUUUCAAAUAUGUUCGUCUGAUUUGUUAUCGUUAAAGUACCGUCUAUUUUAUAAAUAAAAUGAUAUUUUUUACUAUCACAAAUAUAUAUUUUUCAAAAGUGCCAACUGUUAAUUAAAAAGGGACAAAAAAAAUCAAUUCAUCUUAUUAACUAAUUAGAAUUAAGUAUUUAACUUAUGGCUAACUAAAUUUUUUGAACGAAUUUUAACGGCAGAAACAUAUUUAAAAAUAUCAAAAUUUUUAUAAAAACAAUAUAUAAAAGUUGAACUUUAAAAGAAUUUAUUUAUAAUUUACUAUGUAGUUACAUAAACUUGUACACAUAUUAACCCUUUAUUUUAACUCUACUGUACAAUCCUUCCCCUUU